Molecule: ribosomal RNA, 497 nt
Filed under: uncultured bacterium
Lineage: Bacteria
Description: partial 16S ribosomal RNA
Rfam family: Bacterial small subunit ribosomal RNA
Source: RNAcentral
GAUGAACGCUGGCGGCGUGCCUAAUACAUGCAAGUCGAGCGAACGGACGAGAAGCUUGCUUCUCUGAUGUUAGCGGCGGACGGGUGAGUAACACGUGGAUAACCUACCUAUAAGACUGGGAUAACUUCGGGAAACCGGAGCUAAUACCGGAUAAUAUUUUGAACCGCAUGGUUCAAAAGUGAAAGACGGUCUUGCUGUCACUUAUAGAUGGAUCCGCGCUGCAUUAGCUAGUUGGUAAGGUAACGGCUUACCAAGGCAACGAUGCAUAGCCGACCUGAGAGGGUGAUCGGCCACAUUGGAGCUGAGACACGGUCCAGACUCCUACGGGAGGCAGCAGUAGGGAAUCUGCCGCAAUGGGCGAAAGCCUGACGGAGCAACGCCGCGUGAGUGAUGAAGGUCUUCGGAUCGUAAAACUCUGUUAUUAGGGAAGAACAUAUGUGUAAGUAACUGUGCACAUCUUGACGGUACCUAAUCAGAAAGCCACGGCUAACUACGUG